RNAcentral lists this ribosomal RNA (468 nucleotides) under uncultured bacterium. RNAcentral's name for it is "partial 16S ribosomal RNA". It matches the Rfam family "Bacterial small subunit ribosomal RNA", at positions 28 to 507 of the family's 1533-position model. The record is from RNAcentral.
GACGAACGCUGGCGGCGUGCUUAACACAUGCAAGUCGAACGGAAAGGCCCUGCUUUUGUGGGGUGCUCGAGUGGCGAACGGGUGAGUAACACGUGAGUAACCUGCCCUUGACUUUGGGAUAACUUCAGGAAACUGGGGCUAAUACCGGAUAGGAGCUCCUGCUGCAUGGUGGGGGUUGGAAAGUUUCGGCGGUUGGGGAUGGACUCGCGGCUUAUCAGCUUGUUGGUGGGGUAGUGGCUUACCAAGGCUUUGACGGGUAGCCGGCCUGAGAGGGUGACCGGCGACAUUGGGACUGAGAGACGGCGCAGACUCCUACGGGAGGCAGCAGUGGGGAGUAUUGCACAAUGGGCGGAAGCCUGAGACAGCAACGCCGCGUGCGGGAUGACGGGCUUCGGGUUGUGAACCGCUUUCGCCUGUGACGAAGCGUGAGUGACGGUAAUGGGUAAAGAAGCACCGGCUAACUACGUG